UCUGGCGACCAUAGCCUUUUGGCCCCACCCCUUCCCAUCCCGAACAGGACCGUGAAACGAAAGCGCGCCGAUGAUAGUGAGCAGCUCGCUCGUGAAAGUAGGUCAUCGCCAGAC
RNAcentral lists this ribosomal RNA (114 nucleotides) under Accumulibacter sp. The record is from RNAcentral. Lineage: Bacteria; Pseudomonadati; Pseudomonadota; Betaproteobacteria.